AGAUUGAACGCUGGCGGCAUGCUUUACACAUGCAAGUCGAACGGUAACAGGCCGCAAGGUGCUGACGAGUGGCGAACGGGUGAGUAAUGUAUCGGAACGUGCCCAGUCGUGGGGGAUAACGCAGCGAAAGCUGCGCUAAUACCGCAUACGAUCUAUGGAUGAAAGCGGGGGACCGUAAGGCCUCGCGCGAUUGGAGCGGCCGAUAUCAGAUUAGGUAGUUGGUGGGGUAAAGGCUCACCAAGCCAACGAUCUGUAGCUGGUCUGAGAGGACGACCAGCCACACUGGGACUGAGACACGGCCCAGACUCCUACGGGAGGCAGCAGUGGGGAAUUUUGGACAAUGGGCGCAAGCCUGAUCCAGCAAUGCCGCGUGACAGGAAGAAGGUCCUUCGGGUUGUAAACUGUCUUUUUGUACGGAACGUAAACGGUCCUAGGUUAAUACCGUGGGCUAA
Molecule: ribosomal RNA, 452 nt
Filed under: uncultured soil bacterium
Lineage: Bacteria
Description: bacterial SSU rRNA
Rfam family: Bacterial small subunit ribosomal RNA
Source: RNAcentral